RNAcentral lists this ribosomal RNA (464 nucleotides) under uncultured bacterium. Its description in RNAcentral is "partial 16S ribosomal RNA". It matches the Rfam family "Bacterial small subunit ribosomal RNA", at positions 28 to 507 of the family's 1533-position model. The record is from RNAcentral.
GACGAACGCUGGCGGCGUGCUUAACACAUGCAAGUCGAACGGUAAGGCCCUUUCGGGGGUACACGAGUGGCGAACGGGUGAGUAACACGUGGGUGAUCUGCCCUGCACUUUGGGAUAAGCCUGGGAAACUGGGUCUAAUACCGGAUAGGACUACGCGAUGCAUGUCGUGUGGUGGAAAGCUUUUGCGGGGUGGGAUGGGCCCGCGGCCUAUCAGCUUGUUGGUGGGGUGAUGGCCUACCAAGGCGACGACGGGUAGCCGGCCUGAGAGGGUGUCCGGCCACCAUGGGACUGAGAUACGGCCCAGACUCCUACGGGAGGCAGCAGUGGGGAAUAUUGCACAAUGGGCGCAAGCCUGAUGCAGCGACGCCGCGUGGGGGAUGACGGCCUUCGGGUUGUAAACCCCUUUCAGCACAGACGAAGCGUAAGUGACGGUAUGUGCAGAAGAAGCACCGGCCAACUACGUG